CCAGAGAACUUAGCAGAGAUGCUUUGGUGCCUUCGGGAACUCUGAGACAGGUGCUGCAUGGCUGUCGUCAGCUCGUGUUGUGAAAUGUUGGGUUAAGUCCCCGCAACGAGCGCAACCCCUAUCCUUUGUUGCCAGCGAUUCGGUCGGGAACUCAAAGGAGACUGCCGGUGAUAAACCGGAGGAAGGUGGGGAUGACGUCAAGUCAUCAUGGCCCUUACGAGUAGGGCUACACACGUGCUACAAUGGCGCAUACAAAGAGAAGCGACCUCGCGAGAGCAAGCGGACCUCAUAAAGUGCGUCGUAGUCCGGAUUGGAGUCUGCAACUCGACUCCAUGAAGUCGGAAUCGCUAGUAAUCGUAGAUCAGAAUGCUACGGUGAAUACGUUCCCGGGCCUUGUACACACCGCCCGUCACACCAUGGGAGUGGGUUGCAAAAGAAGUAGAUAGCUUAACCUUCGGGAGGGCGUUUACCACUUUGUGAUUCAUGACUGGGGUGAAGUCGUAACAAGGUAAGCGUAGCGAG
RNAcentral lists this ribosomal RNA (522 nucleotides) under uncultured bacterium. RNAcentral describes it as "bacterial SSU rRNA". It matches the Rfam family "Bacterial small subunit ribosomal RNA", at positions 988 to 1509 of the family's 1533-position model. The record is from RNAcentral.